CCUACGGGAGGCAGCAGUGAGGAAUAUUGGUCAAUGUACGAGAGUCUGAACCAGCCAAGUAGCGUGAAGGAUGACUGCCCUAUGGGUUGUAAACUUCUUUUAUAUGGGAAUAAAAUGUUCCACGUGUGGGAUUUUGUAUGUACCAUAUUAAUAAGGAUCGGCUAACUCCGUGCCAGCAGCCGCGGUAAUACGGAGGAUCCGAGCGUUAUCCGGAUUUAUUGGGUUUAAAGGGAGCGUAGGUGGAUUGUUAAGUCAGUUGUGAAAGUUUGCGGCUCAACCGUAAAAUUGCAGUUGAAACUGGCAGUCUUGAGUACAGUAGAGGUGGGCGGAAUUCGUGGUGUAGCGGUGAAAUGCUUAGAUAUCACGAAGAACUCCGAUUGCGAAGGCAGUUCACUGGACUGCAACUGACACUGAGGCUCGAAAGUGUGGGUAUCAAACAGGAUUAGAUACCCGGGUAGUC
This 460-nucleotide ribosomal RNA is filed under the name uncultured bacterium. Its description in RNAcentral is "partial 16S ribosomal RNA". It matches the Rfam family "Bacterial small subunit ribosomal RNA", at positions 338 to 795 of the family's 1533-position model. The record is from RNAcentral.